This 433-nucleotide unclassified non-coding RNA is filed under the name soil metagenome. RNAcentral's name for it is "partial contains 5.8S ribosomal RNA, internal transcribed spacer 2, and large subunit ribosomal RNA". The stretch from base 1 to 120 matches the Rfam family "5.8S ribosomal RNA", at positions 35 to 154 of the family's 154-position model. The record is from RNAcentral.
GAUGAAGAACGCAGCGAAAUGCGAUACGUAAUGUGAAUUGCAGAAUUCAGUGAAUCAUCGAAUCUUUGAACGCAUAUUGCGCUCUCUGGUAUUCCGGAGAGCAUGCUUGUUUGAGUAUCAGUAAACACCUCAACUUCCAUAUCUUUUUUGAAAUGGGAGCUGGACUUGAGUGAUCCCAACGCUUUUCCUCACCGAAAAGUGGCGGGUUACUUGAAAUGCAGGUGCAGCUGGACUUUUCUCUGAGCUAUAAGCAUAUCUAUUUAGUCUGCCUAAAAAACAGAUUAUUACCUUUGCUGCAGCUAACAUAAAGGAGAUUAGUUCUUGUGCUGACUGAUGCAGGAUUCACAAAGACAGGCUUCGGCCGACUUUGUAAACUCGAUCUCAAAUCAAGUAAGACUACCCGCUGAACUAAAGCAUAUCAAUAAGCGGAGGA